Molecule: ribosomal RNA, 625 nt
Filed under: Pyrenodesmia albopustulata
Lineage: Eukaryota; Fungi; Ascomycota; Lecanoromycetes; Teloschistales; Teloschistaceae
Description: partial large subunit ribosomal RNA
Rfam family: Eukaryotic large subunit ribosomal RNA
Source: RNAcentral
ACUCCUUCGACGAGUCGAGUUGUUUGGGAAUGCAGCUCAAAAUGGGUGGUAUAUUUCAUCUAAAGCUAAAUACCGGCCAGAGACCGAUAGCGCACAAGUAGAGUGAUCGAAAGAUGAAAAGCACUUUGGAAAGAGAGUCAAAAAGUACGUGAAAUUGUUGAAAGGGAAGCGCUCGCACCCAGACCUGCCCGCGGCCGAUCAACCGUCCUUCUGGGCGGUGCACUCGGUCGCGAUCAGGCCAGCAUCGGUUCGGGCGGCCGGAUAAAGGCCCUGGGAACGUAGCUCCUUUCGGGGAGUGUUAUAGCCCUCGGUGCAAUGCGGCCAGCCUGGACCGAGGACCGCGCUUCGGCUAGGAUGCUGGCGUAAUGGUUGUGAGCGGCCCGUCUUGAAACACGGACCAAGGAGUCUAACAUCUAUGCGAGUGUUUGGGUGUCAAACCCAUGCGCGUAAUGAAAGUGAACGGAGGUGGGAACCCAUUCGGGCGCACCAUCGACCGAUCCAGAUGUCUUCGGAUGGAUUUGAGUACGAGCAUAGCUGUUGGGACCCGAAAGAUGGUGAACUAUGCCUGAAUAGGGUGAAGCCAGAGGAAACUCUGGUGGAGGCUCGCAGCGGUUCUGACGUGCAA